UUAAGCGACUAAGCGUACACGGUGGAUGCCCCGGCAGUCAGAGGCGAUGAAGGACGUGCUAAUCUGCGAUAAGCGUCGGUGAGGUGAUAUGAACCGUUAUAACCGGCGAUUUCCGAAUGGGGAAACCCAGUGUGUUUCGACACACUAUCAUUAACUGAAUCCAUAGGUUAAUGAGGCGAACCGGGGAACUGAAACAUCUAAGUACCCUGAGGAAAAGAAAUCAACCGAGAUUCCCCAGUAGCGGCGAGCGAACGGGGAGGAGCCCAGAGCCUGAAUCAGUGUGUGUGUUAGUGGAAGCGUCUGGAAAGGCGCGCGAUACAGGGUGACAGCCCUGUACACAAAAAUGCACAUAUUGUGAGCUCGAUGAGUAGGGCGGGACACGUGGUAUCCUGUCUGAAUAUGGGGGGACCAUCCUCCAAGGCUAAAUACUCCUGACUGACCGAUAGUGAACCAGUACCGUGAGGGAAAGGCGAAAAGAACCCCGGCGAGGGGAGUGAAAAAGAACCUGAAACCGUGUACGUACAAGCAGUGGGAGCCUCUUAAUGGGGUGACUGCGUACCUUUUGUAUAAUGGGUCAGCGACUUAUAUUCUGUAGCAAGGUUAACCGAAUAGGGGAGCCGAAGGGAAACCGAGUCUUAACUGGGCGUUAAGUUGCAGGGUAUAGACCCGAAACCCGGUGAUCUCAGCCAUGGGCAGGUUGAAGGUUGGGUAACACUAACUGGAGGACCGAACCGACUAAUGUUGAAAAAUUAGCGGAUGACUUGUGGCUGGGGUGAAAGGCCAAUCAAACCGGGAGAUAGCUGGUUCUCCCCGAAAGCUAUUUAGGUAGCGCCUCGUGAAUUCAUCUCCGGGGGUAGAGCACUGUUUCGGCAAGGGGGUCAUCCCGACUUACCAACCCGAUGCAAACUGCGAAUACCGGAGAAUGUUAUCACGGGAGACACACGGCGGGUGCUAACGUCCGUCGUGAAGAGGGAAACAACCCAGACCGCCAGCUAAGGUCCCAAAGUCAUGGUUAAGUGGGAAACGAUGUGGGAAGGCCCAGACAGCCAGGAUGUUGGCUUAGAAGCAGCCAUCAUUUAAAGAAAGCGUAAUAGCUCACUGGUCGAGUCGGCCUGCGCGGAAGAUGUAACGGGGCUAAACCAUGCACCGAAGCUGCGGCAGCGACACUAUGUGUUGUUGGGUAGGGGAGCGUUCUGUAAGCCUGUGAAGGUGUACUGUGAGGUAUGCUGGAGGUAUCAGAAGUGCGAAUGCUGACAUAAGUAACGAUAAAGCGGGUGAAAAGCCCGCUCGCCGGAAGACCAAGGGUUCCUGUCCAACGUUAAUCGGGGCAGGGUGAGUCGACCCCUAAGGCGAGGCCGAAAGGCGUAGUCGAUGGGAAACAGGUUAAUAUUCCUGUACUUGGUGUUACUGCGAAGGGGGGGACGGAGAAGGCUAUGUUGGCCGGGCGACGGUUGUCCCGGUUUAAGCGUGUAGGCUGGUUUUCCAGGCAAAUCCGGAAAAUCAAGGCUGAGGCGUGAUGACGAGGCACUACGGUGCUGAAGCGACAAAUGCCCUGCUUCCAGGAAAAGCCUCUAAGCAUCAGGUAACAUCAAAUCGUACCCCAAACCGACACAGGUGGUCAGGUAGAGAAUACCAAGGCGCUUGAGAGAACUCGGGUGAAGGAACUAGGCAAAAUGGUGCCGUAACUUCGGGAGAAGGCACGCUGAUAUGUAGGUGAAGCGACUUGCUCGUGGAGCUGAAAUCAGUCGAAGAUACCAGCUGGCUGCAACUGUUUAUUAAAAACACAGCACUGUGCAAACACGAAAGUGGACGUAUACGGUGUGACGCCUGCCCGGUGCCGGAAGGUUAAUUGAUGGGGUUAGCGGUAACGCGAAGCUCUUGAUCGAAGCCCCGGUAAACGGCGGCCGUAACUAUAACGGUCCUAAGGUAGCGAAAUUCCUUGUCGGGUAAGUUCCGACCUGCACGAAUGGCGUAAUGAUGGCCAGGCUGUCUCCACCCGAGACUCAGUGAAAUUGAACUCGCUGUGAAGAUGCAGUGUACCCGCGGCAAGACGGAAAGACCCCGUGAACCUUUACUAUAGCUUGACACUGAACAUUGAGCCUUGAUGUGUAGGAUAGGUGGGAGGCUUUGAAGUGUGGACGCCAGUCUGCAUGGAGCCGACCUUGAAAUACCACCCUUUAAUGUUUGAUGUUCUAACGUGGGCCCCUUACCGGGGUUGCGGACAGUGUCUGGUGGGUAGUUUGACUGGGGCGGUCUCCUCCUAAAGAGUAACGGAGGAGCACGAAGGUUGGCUAAUCCUGGUCGGACAUCAGGAGGUUAGUGCAAUGGCAUAAGCCAGCUUGACUGCGAGCGUGACGGCGCGAGCAGGUGCGAAAGCAGGUCAUAGUGAUCCGGUGGUUCUGAAUGGAAGGGCCAUCGCUCAACGGAUAAAAGGUACUCCGGGGAUAACAGGCUGAUACCGCCCAAGAGUUCAUAUCGACGGCGGUGUUUGGCACCUCGAUGUCGGCUCAUCACAUCCUGGGGCUGAAGUAGGUCCCAAGGGUAUGGCUGUUCGCCAUUUAAAGUGGUACGCGAGCUGGGUUUAGAACGUCGUGAGACAGUUCGGUCCCUAUCUGCCGUGGGCGCUGGAGAACUGAGGGGGGCUGCUCCUAGUACGAGAGGACCGGAGUGGACGCAUCACUGGUGUUCGGGUUGUCAUGCCAAUGGCACUGCCCGGUAGCUAAAUGCGGAAGAGAUAAGUGCUGAAAGCAUCUAAGCACGAAACUUGCCCCGAGAUGAGUUCUCCCUGACUCCUUGAGAGUCCUGAAGGAACGUUGAAGACGACGACGUUGAUAGGCCGGGUGUGUAAGCGCAGCGAUGCGUUGAGCUAACCGGUACUAAUGAACCGUGAGGCUUAACCU
This 2900-nucleotide ribosomal RNA is filed under the name Escherichia coli. Its description in RNAcentral is "23S ribosomal RNA". It matches the Rfam family "Bacterial large subunit ribosomal RNA". The record is from RNAcentral. Lineage: Bacteria; Pseudomonadati; Pseudomonadota; Gammaproteobacteria; Enterobacterales; Enterobacteriaceae.